UACGUAGGGUGCAAGCGUUAAUCGGAAUUACUGGGCGUAAAGCGUGCGCAGGCGGUUCUAUAAGACAGAUGUGAAAUCCCCGGGCUCAACCUGGGAACUGCAUUUGUGACUGUAGAGCUGGAGUGCGGCAGAGGGGGAUGGAAUUCCGCGUGUAGCAGUGAAAUGCGUAGAUAUCGGAAGGAACAUCAGUGGCGAAAGCGGCUUCCUGGACCAGUACCGACGUUCAGGCACGAAAGCGUGGGGAGCAAACAGG
This 253-nucleotide ribosomal RNA is filed under the name uncultured bacterium. Its description in RNAcentral is "partial 16S ribosomal RNA". It matches the Rfam family "Bacterial small subunit ribosomal RNA", at positions 524 to 776 of the family's 1533-position model. The record is from RNAcentral.